RNAcentral lists this ribosomal RNA (406 nucleotides) under uncultured bacterium. RNAcentral's name for it is "partial 16S ribosomal RNA". It matches the Rfam family "Bacterial small subunit ribosomal RNA", at positions 29 to 526 of the family's 1533-position model. The record is from RNAcentral.
AUUGAACGCUGGCGGCAGGCCUAACACAUGCAAGUCGAGCGAGCGGCGGACGGGUGAGUAAUGUCUGGGAAACUGCCUGAUGGAGGGGGAUAACUACUGGAAACGGUAGCUAAUACCGCAUAACAUCAGAUGUGCCCAGAGGGGCGUAGCUAGGAGGUGGGGUAACGGCUCACCUAGGCGACGAUCCCUAGCUGGUCUGAGAGGAUGACCAGCCACACUGGAACUGAGACACGGUCCAGACUCCUACGGGAGGCAGCAGUGGGGAAGUUUGCACAAUGGGCGAAAGCCUGAUGCAGCCAUGCCGCGUGUGUGAAGAAGGCUUUCGGGUUGUAAAGCACUGUCAGCGGGGAGGCGUUACCCGCAGAGGAAGCACCGGCUAACUCCGUGCCAGCAGCCGCGGUAAUAC